Molecule: microRNA precursor, 60 nt
Filed under: Eptatretus burgeri (inshore hagfish)
Lineage: Eukaryota; Metazoa; Chordata; Myxini; Myxiniformes; Myxinidae
Description: Ebu-Mir-8-P2o1_pre stem-loop
Rfam family: mir-8/mir-141/mir-200 microRNA precursor family
About the family: The bounds of the precursors are predicted based on conservation and base pairing and are not generally known.
Source: RNAcentral
CAUCUUACCUGGCAGUGCUGGAUGUUUUGUGGAAUUCUAACACUGUCUGGUAAUGAUGUU